UGCGGAAGGAUCAUUAUUGAAAUUAUAGGUGAGGGUUGUAGCUGGCCUCUCGGGGCAUGUGCACGCCCGAGCCCUUAAUCCACACACACCUGUGAACCUAUUGUAAGGGCCCUUAAAAAAGGCCUUUACGUCUUAUCAUCAACCCAUCGUAUGUCUCAUAGAAUGUAAAUAUAUGUCCUCGCCUUAAAAAGCGUUGAUAAACUUAUACAACUUUCAACAACGGAUCUCUUGGCUCUCGCAUCGAUGAAGAACGCAGCGAAAUGCGAUAAGUAAUGUGAAUUGCAGAUUUUCAGUGAAUCAUCGAAUCUUUGAACGCACCUUGCGCUCCUUGGUAUUCCGAGGAGCAUGCCUGUUUGAGUGUCAUUAAAUUCUCAACUCUGAUCGAUUUGUUUCGACUUCGGAGCUUGGAUUUGGAGCGUGCUGGCGUCGGUCGGCUCCUCUUAAAUGCGUCAGCGGAAUCUAACGUUUCGGACGUCAGUGUGAUAAUCAUGUUGCGCUGUCUGUCUGAUCCGAAAGCCCGCUCAC
Molecule: ribosomal RNA, 525 nt
Filed under: Piloderma fallax
Lineage: Eukaryota; Fungi; Basidiomycota; Agaricomycetes; Atheliales; Atheliaceae
Description: eukaryotic LSU rRNA
Rfam family: 5.8S ribosomal RNA (bases 209-363)
Source: RNAcentral